Molecule: unclassified non-coding RNA, 220 nt
Filed under: Hevea brasiliensis (rubber tree)
Lineage: Eukaryota; Viridiplantae; Streptophyta; Magnoliopsida; Malpighiales; Euphorbiaceae
Source: RNAcentral
GUUGAGAUCUUGGAGCAAAUUUGAAGUUGGAUUAAUUUUAUGAGCAUUGUGUCAAUAUGGGAAAACAAGGGCCUUGUUAUCAUUGUGGCACUAAUAGCACUCCACUAUGGAGAAAUGGGCCACCUGAGAAGCCAGUGUUAUGCAAUGCCUGUGGAUCAAGGUACAGGAUUAGAGGAAGUCUUGCAAACUAUACACCUAAGCAUGCCCAAGGACAACCAAC